RNAcentral lists this long non-coding RNA (1216 nucleotides) under Medicago truncatula (barrel medic). RNAcentral describes it as "long non-coding RNA (MTRU_LNC001608)". Lineage: Eukaryota; Viridiplantae; Streptophyta; Magnoliopsida; Fabales; Fabaceae. The record is from RNAcentral.
GUACUUUUGAAAAUACAGUGUCUGUGCGGAUUCGUUUGGGGGAUUCGUUUAUGCGGAUCCUCGUAGAGAUUACCCCAUUCAGGUGUAGUAAAAUAUUGAUCCAACGAAUUUAUGUAUUACAUAGCAUAUUUUUAUAAGAUCUUAUCAACAUAAAAAUAUUGAUCCAACGAAUAUAAAAUAGUGUUUUUAUAUUAUUUUUUUAUAUAAAACAACUAAAAAUACAUAUGGUUAGAAAGACAUAUUUUUAGGAUCAGUAGUGUUAGAUGCAAUUGUUAUAGAGACAACCAUGUUUGUCACAUGAAAGACAAAAACAUGUAAAAUUAAAGGAACAUAAAACUUGUUGUAUAGGAACCUAUAUUUCUCACCUCAAAACUUGAAAUUAAGAACUUAUCAAGAAUCGAAAGAGAGACGAUAGUAUGAAAAGACAAAUGACGGCUAGAAUAUAAACUUGACACACUUCCAUGCACAACUAAAGGUCGACAAUAUGUAACAAAAAUUGAAACAACAGUAAAGGGCCAAACUAGAGUUGAAAAUAAAUAGAAUUAUAACUUCAAGGUCCAUGAAAUUAAGUAAAAAAGGGAAGAAAAAAAUACAAUUAUUCGGUACAUGAACAAAAAUGAAAUGACAGUUUAUGGAAUAUUCUAGGAUAAGGUAUAUUGUAAAAUUAUUUUGCUAGCACAAGAACUCAUGGUGUGAAUUUAUGGAUUUGUAUACAAAAGCCUUUACGACAUCUAACAUUAUUAAUUUUCAUUUGUGGACAAUCUUUAUCCGUAAUACAUGGAGGAGGCUUACGAAAAUAAAUAGAAUCAUAUACUACCAUCAAUUGAAAUAUGGAAAGAAAUAGAAACAUAACAUAAACAUACUUUAGAGUUUCAACCAUAUUUUUUUUCUUUUUGCACUUAAAAUCUAGGAUAUUAUUUGAUCUCUUUAUAGUCUGUAAAGUUCAUGCUCUCAUAGAAAUGAUUAAAUAGUUUAAGACUUUAUGAAAUAUUUAAAACCCUUCAUAAAAUUAUAAUAAUUAUUAAAAGUCUCUUAAGUAUAUUAAUGUGUCGUGUUUGUCCCUUAACACUUAGAAAUGAGGUAAUACAAUAAACUUGAUAAUCAUAAGAAUCAAAUAUUAUUUAACUAACUUAUGAUUACUUUUUACUUCAAAAAAUCCGUUAUCUUUUUAACUUUUUGUGAUAGUAAAGCAUUUUUUUUGGGACCAUGGUAAAUA